Eptesicus fuscus (big brown bat) is the source of this 107-nucleotide small nuclear RNA. NCBI's taxonomy places the organism in Eukaryota, Metazoa, Chordata, Mammalia, Chiroptera, Vespertilionidae. The record is from RefSeq and is a predicted model, not a curated record.
GUGCUUGCUUCGGCAGCACAUAUACUAAGAUUGGAGCAGCACAGAGAAAAUGAGCAUAGCCCCUGUGCAAGAAUGCCAUGCAAACUGGUUAAUUGUUCCACACUCUU